UACGUAGGUGGCAAGCGUUAUCCGGAAUUAUUGGGCGUAAAGCGCGCGUAGGCGGUUUUUUAAGUCUGAUGUGAAAGCCCACGGCUCAACCGUGGAGGGUCAUUGGAAACUGGAAAACUUGAGUGCAGAAGAGGAAAGUGGAAUUCCAUGUGUAGCGGUGAAAUGCGCAGAGAUAUGGAGGAACACCAGUGGCGAAGGCGACUUUCNUGGUCUGUAACUGACGCUGAUGUGCGAAAGCGUGGGGAUCAAACAGGAUUAGAUA
RNAcentral lists this ribosomal RNA (262 nucleotides) under uncultured Staphylococcus sp. Its description in RNAcentral is "partial 16S ribosomal RNA". It matches the Rfam family "Bacterial small subunit ribosomal RNA", at positions 524 to 784 of the family's 1533-position model. Lineage: Bacteria; Bacillati; Bacillota; Bacilli; Caryophanales; Staphylococcaceae. The record is from RNAcentral.